UUAAUAAUUAUUGUUUAAUCUUUUUGUUGCGACAUAAAAUAAUUUAAAAUCCUUCUCUCAUUCCCAACAAAUUUUCACCUACCUUCAAAAGUUUUGGAUUAUCAUUUGAAUUUUUUUCCUUGAAGCACUUGCUGAAUAGACUUCUAUUCUACGCAAACUUGCAUGAAGAGCGUCUAUUUAUUAUAUUUGGAGGCGGAAGAAUUUAAGGAACCAUACAAACAAACUCCAGAAGAAGUGUUUCAAUAAGUUGCUGCGAUGGGUUCAUUUUUGUUCGAUUUUAUUCUAAUAUAGUCAUUAAGCAUUCAAACAAUACUCUUUGUAAUAAUCGGAG
Molecule: long non-coding RNA, 331 nt
Filed under: Durio zibethinus
Lineage: Eukaryota; Viridiplantae; Streptophyta; Magnoliopsida; Malvales; Malvaceae
Description: long non-coding RNA (DZIB_LNC002439)
Source: RNAcentral